RNAcentral lists this ribosomal RNA (625 nucleotides) under fungal endophyte. Its description in RNAcentral is "eukaryotic LSU rRNA". The stretch from base 179 to 332 matches the Rfam family "5.8S ribosomal RNA". The record is from RNAcentral. Lineage: Eukaryota; Fungi.
UAAAGAGUUCUAUAACUCCCAAACCCAUGUGAACAUACCUAACGUUGCCUCGGCAGGUCGCACCUACCUUGUAGCACCCUACCCUGUAGGGCCUACCCGGGAGGUGCGGGUAAGCCUGCCGGCGGCCCACCAAACUCUGUUUGAUAUUGAAUUCUGAACCUAUAACUAAAUAAGUUAAAACUUUCAACAACGGAUCUCUUGGUUCUGGCAUCGAUGAAGAACGCAGCGAAAUGCGAUAAGUAAUGUGAAUUGCAGAAUUCAGUGAAUCAUCGAAUCUUUGAACGCAUAUUGCGCCCAUUAGUAUUCUAGUGGGCAGGACCGUUCGAGCGUCAUUUCAACCCUUAAGCCUUCGUUGCUUAGUGUUGGGAGCCUACGGCAACGUAGCUCCUCAAAGUUAGUGGCGGAGUUGGUUCACACUCUAGACGUAGUAAUUUUUUAUCUCGCCUAUUAGUUGGACUAAUCCCCUGCCGUAAAACCCCUAAUUUAUCAAGGUUGACCUCGAAUCGGUUCAGACAAACUCGCUAAAUUGAAGCAUCUUAGUCAGCGAAGGAAAAGAAACCAACAGGGAUUGCCCUAGUAACGGCGAGUGAAGCGGCAACAGCUCAAAUUUGAAAUCUGGCCCUCG